UUAUUGGAUGAAGGUAUAUGGAUACUAAUUUCAUAUGAUGUUACUUAUAUUUGUUAUUUGUUAUUUGUUUAAUUUCAGAACCACACACACACACAUAUAUUAUAAAGCCAACUGCAAGACUGUUUGCCCAUGCCUACUCAACUGUUCAUUAAAUAACCUCAAUUCAGCAAUUGGUCUGGUUCCUGUGUCCUGACCGGCACCCGAGAGUGAUUACCACACAAAAUAAGACUCGGCAAUAGAACUCACUAUACAGUCCUUCUAAGUCUCACUAACAGUGGUCCUUCGAGCCGGAUGUGUGUCAUUUCUCUCUAGAAGAUGGAUAAUAGAGCCUCAACCAGACCUAAACAUUGGACCCACCUCCCACAUCAUUAUGAGGAGUACGAAAUGGGUUUUGUGCUGCCACAAAGACAGUUAUCUGAACCAAAAAUCAGUAGGCAUGGGCAAGAAGAGGAGUUGUGUUCACAAGAAAAGGGAGCUGCCAAGAUGACACCCCCCACUUUCAUCCAUCGUCAGUCACUAAGGGAUGCUGACUGUACAGAGGAACAGCACAUUGCAGCGAGACAAUACAGCCAAAGACCAGUUUCUGAAAUAUAGCGUUCAGCGUCAGUUCAGGCAGGCCGCGUAGUCAAGCUCCGCUAUCAGCUAAUACCCAGACCUAACAGCUGAUCUGAUUGCUAAGCACUCAGUUGGUCCCUUUCAAACAGGGCGCCCUAUUUAAAUGCAUUCUCACUCUGCUGCUUGGCUGCUUCCACUGCAUUGCUUGCAAGAGCGCAGCUUUUUGCAUAAGAUAAGAUAAGAUGAGAUUACUCUAAUAUUUUGCUGUACUCACCCAACUGCUGACCAUGUCUACCACCGCCGCAAAUGAUGAAGACCAAUGGCAAAUUGAAUCCAUCGAAGAGUCCCAGCAACAAAUAAGUCACGAAGCGGAAGCCAUUCAAGACAAAAGCAACGCUUCUGUCCGUCGGAGCUCUCGCCUGGCGAGUAAAUCAUAUAGUCCUCCCAGUAUCAUUGACUGGCCACUGGUGAAGUUACUGGAAACCUUGUAUAGACACGAUAUCCCAGCACCGACUGGAGCUACGCAUAAGGAACUGUUUGCUUUGCUCUGUGAAAAAAUUGAUGUCCCAGCAGCAGAUUUUCCUCCUCCUCCUCCUUUCUCAGGCAGGAAACAAGUGCAGAAGAAAAAGAAUUUCGACCCGGCUUCCACUCCGACUGAUUUUGCACUCAAGCGGGCAGGUGGUUCAGCCGUCUCAAACAGAGCAGUCAACUCUUCUUCAGUCCAAAGCAAAGACCCAGUGUUGUCAGCAUUGUCCAGCAAUCAGUUUUCGCUCUCCGACAUGAACUCCAGAAUUCAGGCUCUGGAGUCCGGUUCAACAUCGAAGUCCUCGGCAAAUCUUCUCUUCUCCGGCCCGCUUGCUGAGAACUCCUCAUUGGCCACGGCGCCGGUGCGGCUGCCCGUGCUUACUCAGCAGCAGGAUGAUGACGUCAUCAAUUCGGGGACUAUACCACGAAGAACGAUGGGAAGUGCAGUUCCAGUGUCUACAGGCUCUCCAUUCUUUCCACCGGCUGCUGCGAUUUCUCAUCAGUUGAGAAGCCAAAUCAUUGCAGGAGUCGUCCACAAGCUCAUCUGGAGGACCCAUUAUUUACAACGGAGGAGGGAAAGCCUAUGUCCAGAGCCUGGUUUGCAUCCCGUUUCCGUCUGCUGUGUCAAUACUGCGGGCUUCCCCCAGAGUGUUAUUCGGCUCAUUCAUUGCGCAUAGGUGCUGCUACAACUGCAGCUUCCUCUACUCCCGUUUCUACCCUUAAAGCUAUGGGAAGAUGGUCUUCAGCAGCUUAUGAACGGUACCUCCGGUCAGAUACUCGAGCCAUCCUUGAGGCUCAGAAAGCUAUGAGUGAUGCUUGUGAUCGGUAGUUGAAAUAAAUAUUGCUUCAGUAACUAUUGGGCUUAUUUA
Long non-coding RNA from Cyprinus carpio (common carp), 1949 nucleotides. The record is from Ensembl. Lineage: Eukaryota; Metazoa; Chordata; Actinopteri; Cypriniformes; Cyprinidae.